Molecule: unclassified non-coding RNA, 214 nt
Filed under: uncultured bacterium
Lineage: Bacteria
Description: partial contains 16S ribosomal RNA and 16S-23S ribosomal RNA intergenic spacer region
Source: RNAcentral
AGGCAUUCCUGGGGCAGGGAGAAAAAGAACGAACGCUGGCGGCUGGCUCAGAACGAACGCUGGUUUGCUGGCUCAGAACGAACGCUGGCGGCCCACUCCUACGGGAGGCAGCAGUGGGGCUCCUACGGGAGGCAGCAGUGGGACUCCUACGGGAGGCAGCAGUGGGACUCCUACGGGAGGCAGCAGUGGGACUCCUACGGGAGGCAGCAGUGGG